Sorghum bicolor (sorghum) is the source of this 133-nucleotide long non-coding RNA. RefSeq lists it as uncharacterized. The transcript is spliced from 3 exons. The record is from RefSeq and is a predicted model, not a curated record. Lineage: Eukaryota; Viridiplantae; Streptophyta; Magnoliopsida; Poales; Poaceae.
ACUUCCAUCAAAUUCAGGACGAAACUGAUAACAACUAGAAGAGCAGGAUGAUGGCGUCAAAUUCAACUGUGAUUUUGAUGGAGAUGUGAUGAAGAUGGUGAAAGGGGUGGAGCUCCAGUUGUUUGAAUUGGCU